GGCUAGCGUUGUUCGGAAUCACUGGGCGUAAAGCGCACGUAGGCGGAUCUUUAAGUCAGGGGUGAAAUCCCGAGGCUCAACCUCGGAACUGCCUUUGAUACUGGGGAUCUCGAGUCCGGGAGAGGUGAGUGGAACUGCGAGUGUAGAGGUGAAAUUCGUAGAUAUUCGCAAGAACACCAGUGGCGAAGGCGGCUCACUGGCCCGGAACUGACGCUGAGGUGCGAAAGCGUGGGGAGCAAACAGG
This 244-nucleotide ribosomal RNA is filed under the name uncultured bacterium. RNAcentral describes it as "partial 16S ribosomal RNA". It matches the Rfam family "Bacterial small subunit ribosomal RNA", at positions 533 to 776 of the family's 1533-position model. The record is from RNAcentral.